RNAcentral lists this ribosomal RNA (224 nucleotides) under uncultured bacterium. RNAcentral's name for it is "partial 16S ribosomal RNA". It matches the Rfam family "Bacterial small subunit ribosomal RNA", at positions 30 to 263 of the family's 1533-position model. The record is from RNAcentral.
UUGAACGCUGGCGGCAUGCCUUACACAUGCAAGUCGAACGGUAGAGGGGCAACCCUUGAGAGUGGCGAACGGGUGAGUAAUGCAUCGGAACGUGCCCAGUCGUGGGGAUAACGCAGCGAAAGCUGUGCUAAUACCGCAUGUGAUCUGUGGAUGAAAGCAGGGACCGCAAGGCCUUGUGCGAUUGGAGCGGCCGAUGUCAGAUUAGCUAGUUGGUAGGGUAAAAG